Molecule: long non-coding RNA, 1552 nt
Organism: Hydractinia symbiolongicarpus
Lineage: Eukaryota; Metazoa; Cnidaria; Hydrozoa; Anthoathecata; Hydractiniidae
Exons: 3
Source: RefSeq, a predicted model, not a curated record
CCACUUUUUUUGUUAAGUCUAUGAAUAGUCAAAGUUGAGCAUUUAUAAAGACAUCAUUUUGUACCUGUGUUAAGGUAUUUACACUGCACUAUACUGGGUUCUUACUGGUGGAAUAUGUUUUUAUCUAAAUAACAACUAUAGCUAAAGUUUGAAAAGCUGGAUAAAGGCUUUAGGAUGUUCUUAUAUAGCUAUCUGCACUGCACUGUUACUACAUCUCGUCAAAUUUGUAGCCGAGUAGCUAUCCUAUUACAUUUUUACAUCUGCACUCUGGCAAUUUUUACUCUAUAAAAACUUUAAUAAUUAUAAACUAGUAGCUAGGUAUCUGCUAUCUAAUACGUCUGAUAUCCAACAAAUAAUUUAUUCCUGGACAAUUUUCCUUCUUUUAAUCACCGGCCUUAUUCCCUGUACUUCAGGAUGGAUGCGCAAGUGAUGUUCCUUCAUCAUUGAAAGUAACCUUUUGCUGUCUGGCUUCAUCAUGCAAUAGACGCAGCUAUUCUAAUGUCCAACAAAUGACAUUCAUCUUCCAACAUUCUGAAAAAUUUUAGGUAUGUCCCCAGGGAAAUAUGAAGCACUGGAAUGGCAACCUAAGGUUUGUUGAAGAAUCUUUAGCCUCAAAAGCACUGAAAACAACAGUAUUGUCUUUACUGUUUGGUUUUGUGACAUUACAUGGUUGAUAAGACAUUUUAAAAGAGCCACCACCAUGGUCACCUCCUAUCUUUAGAUGGAUUUCAUCUUUAAAAGCUUGUCUCUCUAGCAGCAUGGAAUUUCUAAAUUGUAACAAUUAAAAACUUCGUAUUAUACAACCAGGUAAUUGUUGUUGCUGUUGUUGUUUAUGUGCACAGUCAGAAUGCAUUUAAUGUUUUUUCUAAGAAAAACUCACUCAGCCAGUUUGUCCAUAUGUUCAUAAAAGUGUGUUGGCAAAUCAUCAACAUAACACCAAGGAGCCGGUUGGAUUACAUAUACCCCUUUCUGGUCCUUAGACUCGAAGCGGAAUGGGGCAACUUCAACUUUUAAGUUUUCACCGUACCAAUUUUUUGCAACUUGCCUUUGCCUGGCUUGUGAAGCUGGUUGUAUGUUGAAAGUCUUCAACCACCUGAAAUAAUAAUUUAUUUUCUCAACUAUUUUUGAAAAAAUUUUAGGAACAGAUGAAGCAUGGAGUUUGUAUUACCUGGCCAUUGUUUUCAUCUUCUCCCAGGGCACACCCAUAUCUGCUUUUAAAGCAACCAUUGCUUCAGAAGUUAUUGUUGCAGAAGAUAAUUGUGCUUCCUUCAAAAUUGUCUCCCGUUCUGCCUGAGGGAAGCGCUUUACCAAGGCAGAAGUCUGCCCUAACAAGGAAAAUUUUGUCGAUCCAGCUGCCGUGAAGAUUUGGUCGUGAAGGAAUUUUGUUCUUCUUCUCAAGUGACGGCGACUAACAUUUUCUUUAAUUCCUUUUGGAGUAGAUGUCAAAACUAAUGGCUGAAAAUAAUUAUUCUCAUAGAUAAAUAUUGGUAUACAUAACAUAGCUUUUUAUAAAUGUUUUAUUAGAAUAAUAAGAAUAUUAGAGUGAGAUUUA